CCUACGGGAGGCUGCAGUAGGGAAUAUUGCUCAAUGGGGGAAACCCUGAAGCAGCAACGCCGCGUGGAGGAUGAAGGUUUUCGGAUUGUAAACCCCUUUUGUUAGAGAAGAUAAUGACGGUAUCUAACGAAUAAGCACUGGCUAACUCCGUGCCAGCAGCCGCGGUAAUACGGAGGGUGCACGCGUUACUCGGAAUCACGGGGCGUAAAGAGCGCGUAGGCGGGAUAGCAAGUCAGAUGUGAAAUCCUAUGGCUUAACCAUAGAACUGCAUUUGAAACUGUUAUUCUAGAGUAUGGGAGAGGUAGGUGGAAUUCUUGGUGUAGGGGUAAAAUCCGUAGAGAUCAAGAGGAAUACUCAUUGCGAAGGCGACCUGCUAGAACAUAACUGACGCUGAUGCGCGAAAGCGUGGGUAGCAAACAGGAUUAGAUACCCGAGUAGUC
This 440-nucleotide ribosomal RNA is filed under the name uncultured bacterium. Its description in RNAcentral is "partial 16S ribosomal RNA". It matches the Rfam family "Bacterial small subunit ribosomal RNA", at positions 338 to 795 of the family's 1533-position model. The record is from RNAcentral.